GGUCUCCCUGAAGCCUGAGGACCGAGCCGCCUCUCUCCCUGGUUCCCUCCUUUUCAGCAAGUGGGGAGUCUGGCUGGACUGUUGUUUAACCCUCAGCUGGCCAGAAGCCCCUGUUCUGCUAAACCCCUCUAAGUUCUUUCCUUCCCUUUUCCCAGGAUAGGCAAGUUGGAGGAUGAGCCUCCAGGAGCUUCUCAGAUCCUGGUGAUGAGACAGCAGUGCUGGAAGAGAAGCCCCUGGGGAGGGACUGACAACUGGUGAACCUGUUUAGGGAAGCACCUUCAAAGAGAAGACCCCUGACCAUCCUGUGGUCACUUCUCAGCUUUCAAGGAGAGAGGGGUGCUCCUCUUUAAGCAUCCCCUUGGGAAUUCAGCCUGGCCCUCUAUUUUCUCUGCCUCUGCUCCUGAGAGGGAUCUCGGGACCCAGUGUCCUCAGACGACCUGCUGAAGGACAUCACCUCCACCCCACACUGUGUGAAAACUUUGUCUACAAACCACCCUCAAGAAAAUAUGCUACAGGCUGGGCCCCUUAGAAGUGAAGUGAAGUCGCUCAGUCGUAUCCGACUCUUUGUGACCCCAUGGACUGUAGCCUACCAGGCUCCUCGGUCUAUGGGAUUUUCCAGGCAAGAGUACUGGAGUGGGUUGCCAUUGCCUUCUCCAGGGGAUCUUCCCAACCCAGGGAUCAAACCCGGGUCUCCCACAUUCUAGACAGAUGCUUUACCAUCUGAGCUACCAAGGAACUUAGAAGCAGCUAACUAAUAAUUCUCCCCAAGGUUUCUCAGUUCCUCUUGGUUUAGCAGAAAAUUUAGCUACAUUCUUGUGGAUCACAGGUGGUGAACUCUCUUGCUAAUGAUUGUGGGGAGUGACACAAACAUUGCUUUGGCCAGAAUUACCUGUGAAAAUCUCUUAGGAAGGUAACAUUGGAGCCUAAAAUAUUGUUCCUCAGUCAGACCAACUGCUCCAUUUCCCCUUUUGGAAAAAAGGAUGUUUCUGGAGCCUAGAUUAAAUGAGGCACUUAUGGCUACUGCCCACUGUUAUACUAAGAAUUUUUUAUUUAAACAUUAGAAU
Molecule: long non-coding RNA, 1064 nt
Organism: Bos taurus (domestic cattle)
Lineage: Eukaryota; Metazoa; Chordata; Mammalia; Artiodactyla; Bovidae
Source: Ensembl